UAACGCGUGGAUAACCUGCCUCACACAGGGGGAUAACAGUUAGAAAUGACUGCUAAUACCGCAUAAGCGCACGGCAUCGCAUGAUGCAGUGUGAAAAACUCCGGUGGUGUGAGAUGGAUCCGCGUCUGAUUAGGUAGUUGGUGGGGUAACGGCCUACCAAGCCGACGAUCAGUAGCCGACCCGAGAGGGUGACCGGCCACAUUGGGACUGAGACACGGCCCAA
This 223-nucleotide ribosomal RNA is filed under the name uncultured bacterium. RNAcentral's name for it is "partial 16S ribosomal RNA". It matches the Rfam family "Bacterial small subunit ribosomal RNA", at positions 111 to 334 of the family's 1533-position model. The record is from RNAcentral.